GACGAACGCUGGCGGCGUGCUUAACACAUGCAAGUCGAACGGAAAGGCCCUGCUUUUGUGGGGUGCUCGAGUGGCGAACGGGUUAUUAACACGUGAGUAACCUGCCCUUGACUUUUUGAUAUCUUCAGGAAACUGCGUCUCAUACCCGAUAGGCGCUCCUGCUGCCUGUUGGGGGUUGGAAAGUUUCGGCGGUUGGGGAUGGACUCGCGGCUUAUCAGCUUGUUGGUGGGGUAGUGGCUUACCAAGGCUUUGAAGGGUAGCCGGCCUGAGAGGGUGAACGGCCUGAAAGGGAAAGAGAUAAGGACCAGAAUACUACAGGAGGCAGCAGUGGCGAAUAUUGCAAAAACGGCGGAAGCGCGAUGCAGCAACGCCGCGAGCGGGAUAACGGUCUUUGGGUUGUGAAACGAUUUCGCCUGUGACGAAGCGUAAGUGACGGGAAUGGGUAAAGAAGCACCGGCUAAAUACGUG
This 468-nucleotide ribosomal RNA is filed under the name uncultured bacterium. RNAcentral's name for it is "partial 16S ribosomal RNA". It matches the Rfam family "Bacterial small subunit ribosomal RNA", at positions 28 to 507 of the family's 1533-position model. The record is from RNAcentral.